CUCGGGAAGGGGAAGAGGGGCCGGAGACCGCCAGGGUGCUGUGGACUGUUUAUUUCUUGCAGUAGCCCCUCCCAAUGGCUACCGGGGGAACAUUGGCAGAACAAAGCAGUGAAAUUUGGCUAAAAUCUCACCAGGAGGUUUGGGCUCCCCACUUGCAGCAAAACCCCAGAUUCAACGAGACCCCAAGCCCGCCCCUGAUCUAGUCGGAUCCUCAGGCUCCGCUAAAGGUUUUUGUGGACUUUGAUGAAGAAUGCAGGCUGCGCCCUCCCUGCCCUGUCCAGGGAUGGGGCUCCCAGACGCUCUGCAAAGACGAACUGCCGACCCCUCCCCUUCCCCCGUGGCGGCAGCCUCCUGGCCUGGCUGCAAGGGAGGCAUCUGAACACACACAGGAUGCCAAGCCCUUCAGACGCAGAGCGGAUCCCAGCGCCAACCAUGUGGGUGUGCAUCCCCCCCAGAUCGGCCUUGGCACAUCUGGCCCGUCUGCCGUGUUUUCCCCAUCCAGGCACCCAGCUGUGUGGCGGAGCCAUAAAGGAAACAGAACAAGAAGUUGCCCCUUAUCUGUGUUCACAUGAUAUAGUCAGAGACCAUAGAGUAUAUGUAGAUUUUAUCUGCAAUUGUAGAUUCUGCUCUAUAACCAUUUGCUUUAUGCACCUCACUAAAAUCCAAACGUGGGAUCAAAAGUUUAAAGUUUAAUCAUGUGUAUUUUUUCAUGAUUUUAAUAGAAUUUUUAACCCUGGCUUUAGAUGAUGUUUCUUCUUUGCUAAGAUCCAAGGGGAAGAGCUUGAGGUUGGAGGAAUCCUUUGGUCAAAGGGUUCCAUAUCCAAAAGUAUAACCAAGAAUCCAGACAGGAAGUGCCUUGAGGAGUCUUUGACCUUGAGCUGAUGGGACCAAGUGCCUUGCCCUCACUUAUUCACUUUCCACAAGAGCCACAUCCCCUCCCUCCAUGAAAAAAAACACCACACCUUUAUUUUUGUCUCACUAUUAUAAAAUUAUAUGUAUCUAUUGUUUAUAUUAGACCAGAUAUGAAAAAAGUAAUGAUCACUUAAAUUCCCACAUCUUAGAAAAGAAAUUAGAUUAUGUCUAUACCUUUUUGUUAUCAUUGUUCUAGUAAAUAAAGGAAGGGAAACAGGC
Myotis lucifugus (little brown bat) is the source of this 1131-nucleotide long non-coding RNA. RefSeq lists it as uncharacterized. The transcript has 2 exons. The record is from RefSeq and is a predicted model, not a curated record. NCBI's taxonomy places the organism in Eukaryota, Metazoa, Chordata, Mammalia, Chiroptera, Vespertilionidae.